GAGGAAAGUCCGGGCUCCACGGAACGCGGUGCCGGGUAACACCCGGCGGGGGCGACCCCAGGGACAGUGCCACAGAGAGCAGACCGCCGAUCGGCGUUUCGACGUCGAGGCAAGGGUGAAAGGGUGCGGCAAGAGCGCACCGCGCGACGGGUAACCGAAGCGGCAUGGCAAACCCCACCGGGAGCAAGACCGAAUAGGGGCGGCACGAGCCUCGUGCGCAAGCAUGGAGUUCCGGGCAGGAACCGGCCCAGCCGCCCGGGUUGGUUGCUUGAGGCGUCCGGUGACGGGCGUCCUAGAGGAAUGAUCGUCGCCGGCUUUCGGGCCGGGACAGAACCCGGCUUA
RNAcentral lists this RNase P RNA (342 nucleotides) under unidentified eubacterium clone PS#27. RNAcentral's name for it is "partial ribonuclease P RNA". It matches the Rfam family "Bacterial RNase P class A", at positions 43 to 351 of the family's 367-position model. Rfam says of the family: Ribonuclease P (RNase P) is a ubiquitous endoribonuclease, found in archaea, bacteria and eukarya as well as chloroplasts and mitochondria. Lineage: Bacteria; Pseudomonadati; Pseudomonadota; Alphaproteobacteria. The record is from RNAcentral.